Molecule: long non-coding RNA, 409 nt
Filed under: Amborella trichopoda
Lineage: Eukaryota; Viridiplantae; Streptophyta; Magnoliopsida; Amborellales; Amborellaceae
Description: long non-coding RNA (ATRI_LNC003970)
Source: RNAcentral
GUACUUUGCCAAUCAGAGUAACUUUGAUUAGCGCCAUUUCUACCCCAUACGGGGUUAUUCACAUGGUCUCCUCCAAUCCGCAACCAUAGAGUUGGAGGAACCGAUCGACGUCCUGUAGGGAACGUCUUACGAAGACUGAUAUUCCAAGGCCGAAACCCUCCCAUACGUCGAGCCCCUUUUGCGAAUCAGGAUCCUUCUUCGAUCGAGGAGGCAAGUGGAAUGAUGGCCUGAGCGACCGCUUGGCUCAAGCACCACGGUGGAGUUUCCGGUGCUUCUUUUUCGACCUGCGAGGAGGGAAGCAGCUUUUGCUUCCCUUUUCUUCAAUUUUUUAGUUUGUAUUUCUUUAGUUUGAUUUCAAGCCCUGUACUUGUCCUUACGGACUUUUCAUUUCAAUGAGGAAGUAAGUGUG